This 352-nucleotide unclassified non-coding RNA is filed under the name soil metagenome. Its description in RNAcentral is "partial contains 5.8S ribosomal RNA, internal transcribed spacer 2, and large subunit ribosomal RNA". The stretch from base 1 to 120 matches the Rfam family "5.8S ribosomal RNA", at positions 35 to 154 of the family's 154-position model. The record is from RNAcentral.
GAUGAAGAACGCAGUGAAAUGCGAAAAGUAAUGUGAAUUGCAGAAUUCAGUGAAUCAUCGAAUCUUUGAACGCACAUUGCGCCCGCUGGUACUCCGGCGGGCACGCCUGUCCGAGCGUCAUUUCAACCCUCAAGCCCUCCUUCGGGAUGGGCCUGGUGUUGGGGCUCGGCCGCCAUCUCCGGCGGCCGUCCCCUAAAUACAGUGGCGGUCACGUCGCGACUCCUUUGCGUAGUAGAAACACCUCGCUCCGGAUAGCAACGCGGUCCACGCCGUAAAACCACCAAUUUUCAAUGGUUGACCUCGGAUCAGGUGGGAAUACCCGCUGAACUUAAGCAUAUCAAUAAGCGGAGGA